RNAcentral lists this ribosomal RNA (686 nucleotides) under Stenotrophomonas maltophilia. RNAcentral describes it as "bacterial LSU rRNA". It matches the Rfam family "Bacterial large subunit ribosomal RNA", at positions 1067 to 1757 of the family's 2925-position model. The record is from RNAcentral. Lineage: Bacteria; Pseudomonadati; Pseudomonadota; Gammaproteobacteria; Lysobacterales; Lysobacteraceae.
AAAACCAUGUGGAAAGGCACAGACAGCCAGGAGGUUGGCUUAGAAGCAGCCACCCUUUAAAGAAAGCGUAAUAGCUCACUGGUCGAGUCGGUCUGCGGGGAAGAUUUAACGGGGCUAAGCACAGAACCGAAGCUUGGGGUGCAUAACUUUGUUAUGCGCGGUAGAGGAGCGUUCCGUAAGCCGUUGAAGGUGGAUUGAGAAGUCUGCUGGAGGUAUCGGAAGUGCGAAUGCUGACAUGAGUAACGAUAAUGCGGGUGAAAAACCCGCACGCCGAAAGCCCAAGGUUUCCUUGCGCAACGUUAAUCGGCGCAGGGUGAGUCGGCCCCUAAGGCGAGGACGAAAGUCGUAGUCGAUGGGAAGCAGGUUAAUAUUCCUGCACCUCGCGUAAGUGCGAUGGAGGGACGGAGAAGGUUAGGUGUACCAGGCGUUGGUUGUCCUGGGGAAAGGCGGUAGGUUUGGAUCUUUGGCAAAUCCGGGAUCCUUUAAGACCGAGCACCGAGACGAGCCUUUAUGGCAAAGUCACUGAUACCACGCUUCCAGGAAAAGCUCCUAAGCUUCAGCUUACGCAGACCGUACCGUAAACCGACACAGGUGGGUAGGAUGAGAAUUCUCAGGCGCUUGAGAGAACUCGGGUGAAGGAACUAGGCAACAUGGCACCGUAACUUCGGGAGAAGGUGCACCCUUUU